GAUGAACGCUGGCGGCGUGCCUAAUACAUGCAAGUCGAGCGAACGGACGAGAAGCUUGCUUCUCUGAUGUUAGCGGCGGACGGGUGAGUAACACGUGGAUAACCUACCUAUAAGACUGGGAUAACUUCGGGAAACCGGAGCUAAUACCGGAUAAUAUUUUGAACCGCAUGGUUCAAAAGUGAAAGACGGUCUUGCUGUCACUUAUAGAUGGAUCCGCGCUGCAUUAGCUAGUUGGUAAGGUAACGGCUUACCAAGGCAACGAUGCAUAGCCGACCUGAGAGGGUGACAGGCCACACUGGAACUGAGACACGGUCCAGACUCCUACGGGAGGCAGCAGUAGGGAAUCUUCCGCAAUGGGCGAAAGCCUGACGGAGCAACGCCGCGUGAGUGAUGAAGGUCUUCGGAUCGUAAAACUCUGUUAUUAGGGAAGAACAUAUGUGUAAGUAACUGUGCACAUCUUGACGGUACCUAAUCAGAAAGCCACGGCUAACUACGUG
This 497-nucleotide ribosomal RNA is filed under the name uncultured bacterium. RNAcentral's name for it is "partial 16S ribosomal RNA". It matches the Rfam family "Bacterial small subunit ribosomal RNA", at positions 28 to 507 of the family's 1533-position model. The record is from RNAcentral.